AGAGUUUGAUCCUGGCUCAGGAUGAACGCUAGCGGCAGGCUUAACACAUGCAAGUCGAGGGGCAGCGAGAUCAGUGCUUGCACUGAUUGUCGGCGACCGGCGCACGGGUGCGUAACGCGUAUGCAACCUACCCAUUACAGGGGGAUAACACUGAGAAAUCGGUACUAAUACCCCAUAACAUCCAGGGAGGCAUCUUCUUGGGUUGAAAACUCCGGUGGUAAUGGAUGGACAUGCGUCGCAUUAGGUAGACGGCGGGGUAACGGCCCACCGUGCCGACGAUGCGUAGGGGUUCUGAGAGGAAGGCCCCCCACACUGGUACUGAGACACGGACCAGACUCCUACGGGAGGCAGCAGUGAGGAAUAUUGGUCAAUGGCCGAGAGGCUGAACCAGCCAAGUCGCGUGAGGGAAGAAUGUCCUAAGGAUUGUAAACCUCUUUUGUCGGGGAGCAAAAAGGCUCUGCGGAGUCGUAUUGAGAGUACCCGAAGAAAAAGCAUCGGCUAACUCCGUGCCAGCAGCCGCGGUAAUACGGAGGAUGCGAGCGUUAUCCGGAUUUAUUGGGUUUAAAGGGUGCGCAGGCGGCGUGUCAAGCAAGCGGUAAAAUAGCGGGGCUCAACCCCGUCGAGCCGUUUGAACUGGCGCGCUUGAGUUCAGGCGAGGUAGGCGGAAUUCGUGGUGUAGCGGUGAAAUGCAUAGAUAUCACGAAGAACUCCGAUUGCGAAGGCAGCUUACCAGUCUGCGACUGACGCUCAGGCACGAAAGUGUGGGUACCGAACAGGAUUAGAUACCCUGGUAGUCCACACAGUAAACGAUG
This 812-nucleotide ribosomal RNA is filed under the name uncultured bacterium. RNAcentral describes it as "bacterial SSU rRNA". It matches the Rfam family "Bacterial small subunit ribosomal RNA", at positions 8 to 811 of the family's 1533-position model. The record is from RNAcentral.